Molecule: ribosomal RNA, 528 nt
Filed under: uncultured bacterium
Lineage: Bacteria
Description: bacterial SSU rRNA
Rfam family: Bacterial small subunit ribosomal RNA
Source: RNAcentral
GUGCCACCAGCCGCGGUAACACGGGGGGGACGAGCGUCGUUCGGAUUCACUGGGCGUAAAGGGCGCGUAGGCGGACCGGAAAGUCGGUUGUGAAAACCCACAGCUUAACUGUGGGCCUGCGUCCGAAACUCUCGGUCUUGAGUAUGGGAGAGGAAAGCGGAAUUCCAGGUGUAGCGGUGGAAUGCGUAGAUAUCUGGAAGAACACCGGUAGCGAAGGCGGCUUUCUGGCCCAAUACUGACGCUGAGGCGCGAAGGUCGGGGGAGCAAACAGGAUUAGAUACCCUGGUAGUCCCGACAGUAAACGAUGGAUACUAGAUGUCGGAGGUAUCGACCCCUUCGGCGUCGCAGCAAACGCGUUAAGUAUCCCGCCUGGGGAGUACGGUCGCAAGACUGAAACUCAAAGGAAUUGACGGGGGCCCGCACAAGCGGUGGAUUAUGUGGUUUAAUUCGAAGCAACGCGAAGAACCUUACCUGGGUUUGACAUGAGCGGGCAGCCCCCGAGAUGGGGGCCCCCUCUUCCGGAGGUCC